RNAcentral lists this long non-coding RNA (4630 nucleotides) under Homo sapiens (human). RNAcentral's name for it is "HSALNT0319390". Lineage: Eukaryota; Metazoa; Chordata; Mammalia; Primates; Hominidae. The record is from RNAcentral.
AACUUUGGGUAUAAUUUGUUGUGCAGCAAUAAAUAGCUAAUAUACAAUAUUUCCACUGAGAAGUUAACUGUUAUUUUGAACUCUGAAUCUCAUAUAGACCAGUGUUCACUUUAUCUUACUCUCUCUCUCUCCUCUCUCUCACUCUCUGUCUCUGAAAUUUCUUCAGAUUUUUUAUUUGUUUCUGGUGCUCUUACUUUUCACAAUGUUGGAACUUAUUGAUGGUUCUGUCUGUGUCUAUUGGGCUGGACAUGCUUUAGGAUCUUUUAUAACCUGUACUCAGUUUGAGUAGUUUCUUGGGUUGAUUCCGUUUUGAUUUUCUCAUUUCUUUGGAAAUUUAUAAUUUUAAAAUUUUGGACCACUGAGAACAUUUUUAAAUUGUCUUAAUCUAACUUUCCACUUCUAUUCUUUUGCCUAUUCUUCUUAGAUAAUUUUUACACUUUAUUUUCAAGCCCUUCUAUUAAUAUUUUUAUUUCUGCUGUGUUAUUUCUAAGACUUACAGAUUUUAUAAUGCUAUUUUUUAGCAUCUCUCCUAUUUUGUGGAUAUGUCAUCUUUUCUCUCUGAAUAUGAUAAUGAGGCUUUCAUUUGUUUUCUAAGUUUUUAUAUCCCUAGGUAUUUACUGUUUUGAUAAUUUUUUCUUCCCUGUUUGUUUGCUUUGCUUUUUUCUUCCAAGAUAAAGCCUGGAAGCUGCACGUCACCUGCCAGCUUUGUGUGUGCCCAGUGAGUGCAGGUGGCAUAAUGACCAGCGGUGACUUGAAUGACAAGGGGACAGAACAGCUGGACAAUCCAAUUCCUAGAUGCUUUCUCCAGUUAUGGCCCUGACUGGGAUCUCCGAAGAAUGACUCAGCUGAAACUGUCAGUGAGGAUGCUUACCUGUGGUCUCCCCAUCAUGGUGGUAUCAGGGUUGUUGAACACCUUACAUGGCUCCAAAAGCAAGUGUUCUGGAAUGUAAGGCAACAGCUGUGUGGUCUUUCAUAAUCCAGCAUCAGAAGUCACAUGGCAUCACUCCUGCUAAAAUUUCUUUGUGGAAGCAGCCACAAAACUGCCCAAAUUCAAGUAGAGGGCACACAGAUCUUAUUUUUUGAUGGGAGGACUCACAAAAAUUUUGCCACCAUAUUAUAAAAACACUAUAAGAUCUAAUAGUAACUUUAACUUUUUUUAACCAAUCCUUCUAUUUUCAGCCCAGACUUCACUUCCUUAUUCAGAUGUAUAAAUGUCUUCUGUGGCUUUGUGAUCAAAUCUGAAUGUUUCUUGGAUUUACCCCUGCCAGCUAAGGAUUUGGCCUUCUUUGAUCUGUUAAAUCAGUUCUCAAACACUGACUUGUUUUCCAUCUAAAAUAUCAGGGUGACCUUUAUCCCAUUCUCAUUGCUUUGAGGAUUUUGUGCCCCCUUUUUUAAAGUCACUUUCUAUGUAUUUUUAUAUGAGUGAGGUUUUGGGAGAAAGUACAGAUAAAUAUAUAUUCUCAAUCUACCACUUUAAUUGAAAAUUCUUGUUUUUUCUUUUACAAAAUUCCUAAUGUUUGCCUAACAAACAUUUAUUGAGAAACUGCUGUAUUUUCAGUAUGUGUUAAGGUCUGUGUACAUCUAUUUUAUAUACAUUAUCUUAUUUAAUAUGCUCAUUUAAUUUCCACAUCUUGUUUAACAUUUAUAAUCUUUUGAUUUGUUAAAUACAAUUUGUAGAAGACCAUUGGUUUAGCGUGAGCUGCACCAGGCCUGGCAGACCAAACCAAAAUGUAGUAUCUCAUACUAAAGUUCCAUGCCACCAAGCUGAAACUAAGUUGUUUAUCUGACUUUCCAAGAAGUCAGGAGAAAGAGAUAACAGUCAAAUCCCCAAAUAUGCUAGUUUGAGUUGGCAUGAUAGGAAAGUUCCUUCCACUUUAGCCUUUAUACGAAAGUAACUUUGGAAUGAUCAGUCUGCUUUUUGUUUCCUGUUUCUGUUUCAGCACUUUUUGUAAAGCCAACUUCUUCUCAGCACAUCAGAACACUCAUUCUACUUUAUAGAAUGAGGUAUAAUCUGAAUCUAAAAUCACAAAUAAAAGCCAAUUAAGAUUUUUAAAGUAAGUUUGUUGUAAUUUUGUCUUUUGACAGAUUUCAUCAUUGCCUACAUUUGUCUUCAGACGACCUGCAGUACAAACUUGGCUUAAACCUGCAGUUGACAAUGGAUUCACCGUGGGAGAAUAAAUUACAAUGGAUAAAAAACAGCAUUACAAUCCCUCAAUAAAAUGGGAUUUUAACAGACAAAGGUGAGUCAGUGGUGAAAGGCAGGAGAAGAUACAACAGGUAAGUGUCUGACUUCAGGCUGGAGCCCUAAUAUAAUAAUAAGUCCUUCUUGUAUUGUAAUCUCUUACAGCUGAAUCUCCAUGUGCUCUCUCUCUCUUCUAACAUCAAUGCAGCUCCUGGUAUGUGGUCGUUCUCAGGCCCAAAGGCCCAUUUUGCUUUUGGCUGCAACUCUGUAACUCUGUAACAGAGACCAAGUGCCUGCAGGGAGCAGAUGUUUGGGGCAGUAUCUGCUAAGGUGGCUUUGCUGAAACUUGUUUCUCUCAUUGGGUCUUGGAAGUGGCGAAUAGGACGUUCCUAUAGAAAAACUCAGAAAGAGACUGUGAAAGAUAAUCUUAAAGAGGCACUCACGAAACACAAGCUCCUUCUCCGGGAAAAAGAAUCAUCACCCUUGUUAUCCCAUGAAAAUUCAUCUUCUCCUUUUCAGCUGAUAUGAGGACUUGAUCUGUCCUUUCCUAUAAGUGCCAUCUGUGUUUAAAUGAGGCUGUUACUCUAACUCAAAGCAGACUUGCAAGAGUAAAAUAAUCAAUCUUCAUCAUAUUGCUGCACUUUCGACAGUUAAUUUUCUAGAGUAAUUUGUCAUUGUGAGGAGCAUAAGAUUUGUCUGAAUUUGUGUCAAAGGUUAUUGACUGAAUUGCCACCUCAUCUUUUCAGUCAAUCUAUAAAUAUGGGCAAGUUUGGGCAGAGGCUAAUGGCCUUCUCACUAAGGGGAUGAGAUUGUCCAAGUUAGGCAACUGAUAAGAGGUAGAAAUAUCUAUUGUGUCACCCAUUUCUUGUGGUAGCAUUGACUUAGAGUUAAUCUCAGAAACUUCACUUAACCUUCUUAAUCCUUUUCUUCCUGUAAAACAAGGCUAAAAAUUGUCAUAACUAUAUUCUAGUUUCCACAAAAGCUAAUCUAAGUAUUAAAAUUUUUAUUGUGACUUUGUGAGAGUGAUCCUGUAUUUUUCACAAAACUAAGAAGAAAAUAUUUUUAUUUAGUGUUUUUCUAUGAAUAGCUUUUGGUUUUUGGAAAAACCAUCUGAUCUUUAUUACUAAGAUUCUUGCUUCUUAGGUCAAAUUCUUGUUCCCUGUCUUUAUAUAGAGUCUAAUAUUGGGAACAUACCCAAGGACCACAUGGAUAAUUUUAUGAUGCUUGCUGACUAUUAUGUUUCUUGCCCACUUUAAUAGCCUAAUAAUAAUAGUUACGAAUUCUUAUUGAGAAAUAGCCAUUCUUAAUCAAUGCCAAUGACAGUGUUUCCUCUUUCAGACUGAAGGAAAAACAGGGAGAAAACCAGUUCAUAUAUUAUGGUUAAACACUGAUAAAACAUUUUGGUUAAAUAUCUGCCUUCAUGGGUUAUUGCAAAAUAGAUUAGUUUAAAGCUCAUCUAGCCCUGAAAUAUACAGUUAGAUUAUUUUUUAUGGAUUUCAAUUAUUUUUAUUUCAUUACAGUUAUUUUUUUUUCAAUACAUGGCCUGUUUGAAGAUACAUCAUAGUAAUGGUAACAGCAGCAACCACUGCAGUAAAUAACUGACAAUUGCUGAACAAUUCAUGUCUGCCAUGCCAUGCUAUGAGGGCCUUAAGGAAUAAAUACAACUUAUAUUCAUAAUAAACAUAGGAGGUUGUAGAAGGCUAAAUAAUGGGUCACCAAAGAUACCCACAUCCCAUAAUUCCUGUAACUGGUGACUAUGUUACCUUGCAUGGUAGAAGGGAUUUUGCAGUUGAGGUUAAGGUUAAAGACUUUAUAAAGGCAGAUUAUCUUGGAUUAUCUGGGUGGGUCUUUAAAAGCGGAAGAGAAAAGCAGAAAAGCAAGUCAGACAGACAGAUGCAACUACAGAAGAGACAGUAGGGACUCAACUCAAAUGACUAACUUUGAAGAUGGAGGAGGUGGUCCAUGAGGCAAGGAAUGCACUUGCUUCUAGAAGCUGGGAAUAACCCACAGCUAGAAGCAAAGUAGGAAAUGGAAGUCUCAAUUCUACAUCGUAAGGAAGUGAAUUCUGCCAAUAACUUGAAAGAGAAGGAAAUAGAUUCCCUCCAGAGGCUCUAGAAAAUAAUGUAUCCCUGCUGACACCUUAAUUUGAUUUGAGCCCCAUGAGACCCACGUUGGACUUCUGACUUAUGGAGCUUGUAAGAUAAUAAAUUUGCAUUGUUUCAGCCACUACAUUUGUGGAAAUUUGUUACAACCACAAUAGGAAACUCAUAGAAUAGUAAUCACUAGUAAUAUCUUCAUUUAACAGUUGAGGAAAUUGAGGCAGGACAACACAAGUUAUAAAAAUUAUCUCAGUUCUUAGUAGAGUUCCUGGCAUAUGACAAGCAGUUAAUGUCUUUGUAGAAUGAAUGAAUGAAUAAAUAAAUAGAUUUUUUCUUAUGCUUUCCCAAA